AGUCGAGCGAGCGGAACUAAAGAUUUACUUCGGUAAUGACGUUAGGAAAGCGAGCGGCGGAUGGGUGAGUAACACGUGGGGAACCUGCCCCAUAGUCUGGGAUACCACUUGGAAACAGGUGCUAAUACCGGAUAAGAAAGCAGAUCGCAUGAUCAGCUUUUAAAAGGCGGCGUAAGCUGUCGCUAUGGGAUGGCCCCGCGGUGCAUUAGCUAGUUGGUAAGGUAAAGGCUUACCAAGGCGAUGAUGCAUAGCCGAGUUGAGAGACUGAUCGGCCACAUUGGGACUGAGACACGGCCCAAACUCCUACGGGAGGCAGCAGUAGGGAAUCUUCCACAAUGGACGCAAGUCUGAUGGGGCAACGCCGCGUGAGUGAAGAAGGUUUUCGGAUCGUAAAGCUCUGUUGUUGGUGAAGAAGGAUAGAGGUAGUAACUGGCCUUUAUUUGACGGUAAUCAACCAGAAAGUCACGGCUAACUACGUGCCAGCAGCCGCGGUAAUACGUAGGUGGCAAGCGUUGUCCGAAUUUAUUGGGCGUAAAGCGAGCGCAGGCGGAAGAAUAAGUCUGAUGUGAAAGCCCUCGGCUUAACCGAGGAACUGCAUCGGAAACUGUUUUUCUUGAGUGCAGAAGAGGAGAGUGGAACUCCAUGUGUAGCGGUGGAAUGCGUAGAUAUAUGGAAGAACACCAGUGGCGAAGGCGGCUCUCUGGUCUGCAACUGACGCUGAGGCUCGAAAGCAUGGGUAGCGAACAGGAUUAGAUACCCUGGUAGUCCAUGC
RNAcentral lists this ribosomal RNA (772 nucleotides) under uncultured bacterium. RNAcentral describes it as "bacterial SSU rRNA". It matches the Rfam family "Bacterial small subunit ribosomal RNA", at positions 60 to 800 of the family's 1533-position model. The record is from RNAcentral.